AAAGUUUGACAGACAAUCGCUGGCGGCUGAGAAGCCGCGAGAGGAAAGUCCGGGCUCCAUAGGGCAGAGAUGCUGGAUAACGUCCAGUCGGCGCGAGCCGAAGGAUAGUGCCACAGAAACGGACCGCCGAUGGCCGGCUUUACCGCCGGCACAGGCAAGGGUGGAACCGUGGUGUAAGAGACCACGAGGACCGUUGGUGACAACGGUGCUGGUAAACCCCAUCUGGAGCAAGACCGAGAGAACGCAGCAGCCGGCUAAUGGAAGCAUUGGCAUGCGCUGCACCCCUGCCCGGGUGCGUUCGGGUUGGUCGCUUGAGCCGGUCAGCAAUGAUCGGCCUAGAUAGAUGAUUGUCGCUUCGAAGUGGGAGGGUCGUUCCCGUUCAGACCACAUGAAGUACAGAACCCGGCUUACGGCAAGCUUUCCGC
Molecule: RNase P RNA, 425 nt
Filed under: Paenibacillus sp. sptzw28
Lineage: Bacteria; Bacillati; Bacillota; Bacilli; Caryophanales; Paenibacillaceae
Description: RNase P RNA component class A
Rfam family: Bacterial RNase P class A
About the family: Ribonuclease P (RNase P) is a ubiquitous endoribonuclease, found in archaea, bacteria and eukarya as well as chloroplasts and mitochondria. Its best characterised activity is the generation of mature 5'-ends of tRNAs by cleaving the 5'-leader elements of precursor-tRNAs. Cellular RNase Ps are ribonucleoproteins.
Source: RNAcentral